AGAGCGAACGCUGGCGGCGUGCUUAACACAUGCAAGUCGAGUGCGCGCCUGUAGCAAUACAGGUGGCGCACGGCGCACGGGUGCGUAACACGUGGGUAAUCUGCCCUUCGAUGGGGAAUAACUCCGGGAAACCGAAGCUAAUUCCGCAUAACAUUCCUUGGACCUCGGUCUGGGGAUUCAAAGCCGUAAGGCGUCGGAGGAGGAGCCCGCGCACGAUUAGUUAGUUGGCAGGGUAACGGCCUACCAAGACUUUGAUCGUUAGC
This 263-nucleotide ribosomal RNA is filed under the name uncultured bacterium. Its description in RNAcentral is "partial small subunit ribosomal RNA". It matches the Rfam family "Bacterial small subunit ribosomal RNA", at positions 26 to 287 of the family's 1533-position model. The record is from RNAcentral.